GAUGAACGCUGACAGCAUGCUUAACACAUCAGCAAUGGAUUGGAGGCGGACGGGUGAGUAACGCGUAAAGAACUUGCCUCACAGGUAGGAACAACAUUUGGAAACGAAUGCUAAUACCUAAUACUGUGCGCGAGCUGUGCGUCCAAUUAGCUAGUGGGGGAGGUAACGGCUCACCAAGGCGAGGAUGGGUAGCCGGCCUGAGAGGGGGAUCGGCAACAAGGUGACUGGGGAGCGGGCAUUACUCCAACGGGAGGAAGCGGUGGGAGUCAUAGGACGAUGGACCGAUGUGUGAACAAGGAAUUCGGUGUGUACGAUUAAGUUUUCGGAAUGAAAAGUGCUUUCAGUUGGGAAGCGGUACCAAAAGAAGAAGUGACGGCUAAAUACGUGCCAGCAGCCGCGGUAAUUC
RNAcentral lists this ribosomal RNA (406 nucleotides) under uncultured bacterium. Its description in RNAcentral is "partial 16S ribosomal RNA". It matches the Rfam family "Bacterial small subunit ribosomal RNA", at positions 28 to 526 of the family's 1533-position model. The record is from RNAcentral.